This 395-nucleotide long non-coding RNA is filed under the name Lathyrus oleraceus (garden pea). RNAcentral's name for it is "Pisum sativum (pea) long non-coding RNA (PSAT_LNC030010)". Lineage: Eukaryota; Viridiplantae; Streptophyta; Magnoliopsida; Fabales; Fabaceae. The record is from RNAcentral.
UUAUUUUAAAUGAAUUCCCAGAAUAUGACGCUAUAUGAGGUAUUUCUAUUUUUUUUAUUUUUAAUUGAUAUAUUCCUUUAGUUUUUCCUAAAAAUCGAUGUGUUUUUUAUUUUGCAUGAAUACUUCAAAGAACUAUACUCUAACUUUCCAUUUACUUAUCAACAAACACUCUGACUUUAUCAUCAUUCUCUUGACAAAAACCCUAGGUUGAGUUUCAUCAAAAAUCUUCCAACAUCAACUUGAACAUCAUCUCUUUUCAACGCCAACUCUUCCAACAUCAUCUCUUUUCAAAAAUCAUUGAAGCUUCAUCAUCACGUUUGACGUACGUAACUCGCCACUAAAAUGUUCAUAGAAUUGUUCAUAGAAAUGAUAAUACCACUGAAAUGUUAUUUGAA